CUCGUCAAGGCCGUAGCCGCCCGCGCCCCCGACCUGGUCGCGCGCGCCGGUCUGGCUCUGCGCCGGCCUUCCCGCCUUCCCGGCCGGCCUCCGCUGCCCCGUCCCCGAUCCGGCUCCGUCCGUGUCCCGGUCAUCGCCUCCGACUUCGCCAGCGCGCCCCCGCCGCCUGCGCCGCUCCCGCGCUCGUCCGCCGGGUCGCCGCUAGCCGGCCUCCACGUCCGGCGUCCGGCUCCGCCUCCCGCCCGCGCGCCGGGCCGGCUCGCCGUUCGCCGGCUCCGCCCGCUCCGCCGUCCCCGCCCGGCCCCUGGCCGCCUCCCAAAGCCGGCCGCGUCCGGCUCCCCGACGCCGCCCUGAGCUUGGCCGGGUCCAGCUCGCCCCGCUUCCCGGCCUCCCCGGCCGGCCCUGCCGCCUGCCAGCUUCCCCGCCACCCAGCACGCCGGCUCUGCCCGCGCCGGCUUCCUCGCAACCCGGCCUGCCGGCUUCGCCCCGGGCCGGCUUCCCCGCCACUCGGCACGCCGGCUCCGCCUGCGUCGGCUACCCAGCCAGCCCUGCCGCCUGCCGGCUUCCUCGCAACCCGGACACCGGCUUCUGCCGCGUCCCGGCCGCCGCUUCCGCCGCGAACCGCUCCGGCCGGUUGCUUAUAUAAAGAGAAAAGAAAGAAAAGGUGCCCAGCCGACUUCUCGUGCAAAAAAAAACGAGGUGCCCAAGCCUGCUGAAAAAAAGGUGUGAAAAGAAGACCACGCCGUCUGCGCACGUCACCGCUCGGCCGGCUGGCCUGCCGGCCCGCGUCGUCACCUAGCCGGCUGGCCUGCCCGUCUACUUCGACACCGGGCUGGCUGGAGAGCUCGCCCGACUGCCCAUCCGCAUCGUCGCCUAGCUGGUCGGGCCCGACCGGCUGGGCCCUCUUCGAGCACCCGGAGGCUCGAAGGCUACACCCAGUGGGUGUCCGCCGGCUUCAAGCCUGCACCCGGCUGUCAUCGACGACCUCUACCUCAUCCACGAAAAAGCAACGUGAGCUCCUUAACCGCAUACUUUCGCACCACGUGUAAACACGGAUAACCCCGAGCUAUACUUGGGGACCACCUCCGCCUUCAUUACAGUUGCAUUACUGUUCGCCCCAGCGCCAGCUAGUCUCGGCCCGGAGGCUGGCCGCUCGGCCCGACACGCUCGCUCCUACAGACGGCUUAGUAGCGCAUACGGUACCGAAGGCCCACUCUCAGCCACAGACCGCAGCGCGGCUGUCCGGCAAGCGAGAGCAAAAGCUGGAGGUCACCCCACGCGAAAAACGUCCAGGAGAAGACGGCUUGGGCAACCCGGCCGUUUCCUUUAUGAGUAUCUACUUGAUCGAAUCCGCUCCUGUAGUCCGAGCAUUGUACGCUCCACUCCGCGGCCACUCUUUGUAACAGCUACAGACCGGCUCCGGGCUGUCUAGCUAACAAGAGGCAAAGCCAAAGAGCGGAAGGGACAUGAAAAAGAUUGAAAGGGGCUCGGACAAAACCGAGUCGGCACCCUCCUCAUAAAACUUACAAUGCCGAAAGCAAACAUUUGGUAUAUCUGCAUGGUCUAACCUUGUCUUUUGCACGAACAUCGCUGUGGGGAACCCCCUCCUCGCCCGGAGGCUCGGAGCCUACACGCGGGUUGCAGGCCUGACUCCGGCUGCAACCGGCGUUUCCGCCACCACCGUCUGCUUCAUCAACAACAAGACCCUCCGCCCAACUUUUCCAAGUUGCCCGGAGGCUCGGAGGCUACACCCAGUGGGUGCGCUCGCGCGCCCCACUCAGCCUGCGGACUCCGCGUCCGUGUCCGGCAGGGCCCCGCUGUCGGUGUCAAAACCGGCGGAUCUCGGGUAGGGGGGUCCCGAACUAUGCGUCUAAGGCGGAUGGUAACAGGAGGCGGGGGACACAAUGUUUACCCAGGUUCGGGCCCUCUCGAUGGAGAUCAUGCGUGGUCGUCCUCUUGAAAACGCAAUGAUGGCAGCAUUGAUUUGCAUGCAUGCACAGAGCAGUUAUUAGGUGUGCUUCACCUUGACUCCUCCUUUCUUCUCCACAAAGCUGUUUCUUUUGGUCGAUGCAUGCAGGGCUGGGUGAGUUAUUGUUGGCUGCAUGCAGAAAAAGGAGGAGAUGAAGUUGCGUGUGAGGGAUUAAUGAAGUACUAUUCCCAAUAUUUGCUCCUCUGUUUAUGCAACAGCCUUGGUAUGAGAGAUUCAAAACUUAGGCCAUGUAUAGAUGGAAGGAGGGAGUACUAUUAUUGUGAAAGUUCAUAUACACUCGAUGAGAUUCAUGCAAACAUGGCAGAUUUUCAUUACAUUUCGAACUUUUAUAGGGCAGAAAAAGAAAA
This is an RNA transcript of Aegilops tauschii subsp. strangulata, 2337 nucleotides long. RefSeq lists it as uncharacterized. Lineage: Eukaryota; Viridiplantae; Streptophyta; Magnoliopsida; Poales; Poaceae. The record is from RefSeq and is a predicted model, not a curated record.